Molecule: ribosomal RNA, 253 nt
Filed under: uncultured bacterium
Lineage: Bacteria
Description: partial 16S ribosomal RNA
Rfam family: Bacterial small subunit ribosomal RNA
Source: RNAcentral
GACGAACCGUGCGAACGUUGUUCGGAAUCACUGGGCUUAAAGGGCGCGUAGGCGGGCUGACAAGUCUGGGGUGAAAUACCACGGCUCAACCGUGGAACUGCCUCAGAUACUGUCGGCCUCGAGGGAGGUAGGGGCGUGCGGAACUGUAGGUGGAGCGGUGAAAUGCGUUGAUAUCUACAGGAACUCCGGUGGCGAAAGCGGCGCGCUGGACCUCUUCUGACGCUGAGGCGCGAAAGCUAGGGGAGCAAACGGG